CUAAGCAUGCCUGCAUUUUCUUUCUCUCUCUCUCUCUCUCUCUCUCUCACACGUGCACGCGCUAUACAAAUAUAUAUAUAUAUGUAUGUAUGUAUGUAUGUAUGUAUGUAUGUAUGUAUAUAGAUACUUCUCUUUUAACUAAGAAUAAAUAUAGGCCAUAAAUAUAUAUCAUAUUGUUAAUGAAUUCUUCUCUAUCUGUAACUGAUCGUCAGCGUGGAGCCCGGGAAGUGGACCCCAGAAAAGAGGAAGAACUACAACCUUCUCGACGCCUUGAGCAGGCACACCAUCCAAGUGUUCCCCAAAUCUUGGGCUGCCAUCCUGCUGACAUUCGACAACGCCGGAAUGUGGAAUCUUAGGUCAGAGCAGCCGGAGAGGCGCUACCUAGGACAACAGCUCUACGUGGGAGUUGAAAAUAUUAAACGCUCCCUCAGGAAUGAGUACAACAUGCCAGACACUGCCCUUGUCUGUGGCCUCGUCAAGGGCAUGCCUAAGCCCCCGCCUUACAGCACGUAAGAUAUAUCACCGCCAUGCUAUGCCGCUUCACACUAGCUAUAUAUGACAUAGAUACCAGCAAGGAUGGAGAUGACAGCGGGGGAUUCGAAUAGUGUGCGCGUGUGAGACAGGAGAGAUCAUUACAAUUUAUGUAUUUCUUCGCAGCUAAUUUAAGCAAACAAAGUUAGGGAACGGUAAAGAAUAAGGGUUGGAAUGUAUGCCAUCACAUUUUCCUAUCAGAUAAAAUAAAAGAGAAGAAAUCCCAUUAAAUUUUUGUACUUUCAUUUAUUUUGGAAUUUGUUAUCUCUCCCUUUUGUACAAGAUUUUAUCAUUAAUAGCCAAAAUUUAUGAUUUAUCCCAUCAUUUUUACAUCAUUUUUAUAUGUCAGUUUUCAUAAAAACUUUCUAAUGUAGCAGAAAACAUAUACGAAUAUACCGAAGUACCCUCAAUGUUAUAAACCAAAACCCUAAUGUCAAUUUACCUUUUAGAUGAGAUAUUCUCUUAAUUUUGGUUAACCUUAAACCAAGAACGGAAGCCAACAAACAGGAAAACCGAUUUGUUUCAGUUGAGAACUUGCGACAUUUGCAGUGAACAGCAUAAGUAAACAAUCAUGACAAUCUAUUUGUUGCAAGAACAAAGAUUUGUUUAAUUUUUAGAUGGGAUAUUGUCAAUUUUCAUUAACCUUGGAUUAGUUUUUCAGUGAAGGUAUAUGGAAUUGUUUAUGUGUCCCACCAUUACCAUUGAUAUUGUUGUGUUUCAAAAAAAAAAUGAUUUUGUUGGAGAGUUUAAUUAAGCGCAUAACUUUAAAGACCAACAAAAAUUGUGUAAUUAAAUCGAAAGACAUCAAGUUUCUAUUGAUUGUAAAUUUGAUGAAGUUCUGGUUUCAUUCGUCUGGUUUUUUUGUUCCCCUGUUUUCGUCCUACUUUUUAGGAUGACAGAUCCUAAUAUUCCAAUUUCAUUAUCCCCAAACAAUUAGAUUUAUGUUAUUACGAACUAUAAUGGUGAUGCACCAUUUUAUAGAUCUCUAUUCAGAACAUCAAUUUACAGAUCACCAAGUUCGGGCAUCAACCCACAAGAUAAUGUAAUUAAACUUAUGUUUUGAGGGUACUUGAGACUAUUCAAAGUGACAUUUUUGAAAUGAUGGGCUAAGUUUUGGCUAUUAAUGAUUAACUCCUUUUUACACCUAUUUAUCUGGUUUAUUUUGCCUAUUUAUUUAUUUUCUUCUAUCUAUAUAUGCGGUCAAAGAGAGAUUAUCUUUAUAAAUCACAUUUGUAAAUUAUAUAAUGUGAUUGUUCACCAUUUGUCUUCUUUAUUAAAUCACGAAGUCUUACUUUAUUGUCAUAUUAUGUGGUUUACAAAAUGUGAUUUAAAAAAUAAGGUCUACCUAGCAUUUUUUGUACAUAUAUAGAGACUAAUGCUACACUUAUCACAAUUUUCAUACUGUAUUUGUAUAACCUCUCUGAUAGAGGUAGACACACAAACAUAUGUGGGUCUCAUAUGUAUUAGAGAGGUGAUACAAAUGUGGUAAGAGUAACAUUUCUUGAUAAACUUAUAGUCACAACAUGAUCCAUCACCAACAUCACUGAUAUUAUUCCAACCUAACAACAUAUUACUAGUAGUUGAGUUUUAUCACAAAAAGCCAAGUGAUAUUAAAGGUGGAAACACUUAUAUAUUAAUUGUAUAUUAUAUUUUCAAAUAUGAUCGAUGUGGAAUCCUAUUCUACAACAAGCUCCCUCACAAGUGACCUCUCAUAGGGUCACUCGGGAAACCAAUCCUUACAUCAGGAACCAGUCAAGUCAUUAUACUAGUGCUAAUGCACGAUUUUUUGAGAACUCAUUCGGUAUUCAGUAGUCUGUCACUAGAACCAACACACGACUUUUAGAAAACCUAGUUAUUCAACAGUCAGUCAUUAGAGCCAACACAUGACUUUUUGAAGGCCAAUUAUCAGUCGGUAUUAUGAAGCAAGUUCAAACCCAGUAACUCGGGCCCAAAACGUAUCAAUAGAAUAACCUAUUUUGAUCAUGUUGCAGAACCGGUCGCUAGUAGGGCACGACCGGUCGCCCGACCUUACUGCUUUUACUAUAGACAACUGGUAGCUCAAAUUUGUUGAAGUUUCAACUCAUCCCCACAAUCAUCUCUUCUAAUACCUGCAAAUGACCAAUUUCCUAAGAAUAUUCAGGCAGGAUGUCCUACUACUUUAGCAAGUCUUGCUCACUCUUUGGCUUGUGAACUUCUUCGAAGGUCUUUUACAAACGCACAUAUUUUUAACAUGCUUUCCCACACCUGGUCCAUGAAGAAAACAUUCUCAUUGUACGGGGUGAAUGUGCAACCACAUCGUGAUUGUUUGGGAGGGGUCUCUAUAAGGUUAGAGUGAUUUGGUCGAGAAGAAUAUGAGUGCACUCUCAAUAAAAGUACCAAUUGUUGAAACCAAAUUUGCGCACCAUCGUAGAUGGUGAAGGCACAAAUCCAAAUAACCUAUAAAAAAACAAACAACCAUGAGCAAGCCUAGGACCAGGGUAUGUGCUGGCCAAAGGCUCUCCGACAAUCAAGUUAGUAAGCAAGUAUAAGACUCCAACAAUGGGCCAGAGAAUCAGAGUGUGAUGAUUGCGUUACCAGAGACAAACUUUAGAAUGGUGUAUUUAUACCAGUCGAGAGAUAGACCAUUUUAGGAUAGAAAAUCCUUAUUCUAAGUCUGAAUAAUCUUAGAGGAUAUAUAGAAGUAGAUAUUGCAUCCUCUUUAUAAGUUUGAUUAUUUGCAACGCACGCCAAUUCAUAGAUUGUAAAAACUCCAAAACUUAUAAAGAAUAUGGCUGAUUCUAUACUUGAUCAGAUCCCAGGUAUUGCGGAAUAAGCAUGGUCAUUCUCAGCGAAGUCGCUUGGACUUUGCCCAUUGCGCCGGAACAGGAUAAUGGUGGGACCACUGCUCCGUUAUCCAACUCCGCUUGGAGUUGUUGAGUCUAUGACCAAACUUCUAAGGUAGCUGCAUUCAAUAUGCCUUACUCUAACCCUGGAAAAUCAUGGUCCCACUACAUUUCCUAAAGUUUUGACUUAAAUUUCCAAGUUUUUGAACAAAAUUCCAUUAUUUCCAUCGAAUGCAAGUGAUACAUAUAUUGAUAUAUCCAUCUAUAUUUUUACAAAUUUGCAUAUCAAUAGCCGUCAAUACUAAUAUUUUAAACACUAAUCAAGGUAUAUUUAAAAAAAAUGAUGUAUUUUCACUUAUUAUUACGGGAUAUUUCUCUUCACUUUUAAUUGAGAUGUCUUAGAUUUGAAUAUGAAAAAUGGCAAAGUUUAAUACCAAUAUUUCGCCACCUCAUUUUUCAUAUUAUAAAUAUAUGGUUGUAAAAGAAAAAAAAUAUGUAUUCCUGAUUUGAAAAAUCUUUCAAGUUACAUUCUAAAGACCAUUUUGUUUGGCCUCUACUUACAAAGCCUAUAACAUUAUUCAAACUAGUAAAGUAGUAAUUAUUUUCACACUCGUUGCAUGUACGUGUAAGAUAAAGGGCAAAGCUGACCCUGAGGAUGUGCAAAACGUGCCACCACAUAAGGCCCCCAAUUCCGAAGGGCCCCCAAAUUUUUAUUACAUGUACACAUAUGUAUGUGAUAUAUAUUUAAAUGUGUAUGAUAAUAUUAAUUAUGGUUUCAACGCUAGUGGUAUACGACUUCUAACUUUUGGUUAGGGAUGACAACAGUUCGGUUUGGGGACGGAAAUGCUAUAUUCAUCCCCAUAACCACGAAAAUUAACCAUAUCCAUAACCGUAAAUUAACCAUCGGGUAUUAUCCAUAACCAUACCCACCGGGUAACGGAUUCCCCAUUGGUUAACGGGUAUAUCCAUCUUCGUCAAUACAAAAAAGAUUUUCAUUCAGUUGAGACAUUAUAAGUUAGUAGAUAUUAAUUUCGUCAUUAAACAUUUGAUGUAUAAAAUGAUCCAAUAAAUGGAUCUUGUUGAGUAUAAAAAUUAAAACACUAAUGAUGUUGGCUUAUCUUUGAUAUCUCUCAUAAGCACCAUUGAGUUCCCAUUGAUUUUGAUUCAAAACUUUACUUUCCUACAAAAUGCAACUUUUGUAUUCUCAAGGUAAUGAUUCAGUGAAUAAUAGAUAUAUAAAUAUAUCUAUAUCUAUAUAUAUUGAUGUAUAAAAUGAUCCAAUGAAUGGAUACUAUUGAGUAUAAAAAUUAAAACACUAAUGAUGUUGGCUUAUCUUUGAUAUCUCCCAUAAGCACCAUUUAGUUCGCAUUGAUUUUGAUUCAAAACUUUAUUUUCCUACAAAAUGCAACUUUUGUAUUCUCAAGGUAAUGAUUCAGUGAAUAAUAGAUAUACAUAUAUAUAUAUAUAUAUAUAUAUAUAUAUAUAUAUAUAUAUAUUAUACUAUAAUAUUAUAUAUAAAUUAUAUUAUUUACUAAUCGGGUCGGAUUCGGUUAUGGAUACGGUUUGGGGACCUCUAUAACCAUAUCCAAAACCAUAACCGAAUAAUAUAAACGGUUUUUCCCCAUAUCCAGAAUAUACCCAAACUUCUAUACCCAAAUCCGUUCCAUUCGAACGGUUAUCCACGGUUAUCGGGUUUAAUGGUUAGAAUUGGCAUCCCCAUUUUUGGUGCCCAAUCAAGUAAACUCAUUUUUGGUGAGCCAACUUGCAAUAUUUCAAUUUUAUAGAUAACAAAAUUGAAAAAUAAUAAACAAUAAAGAAUAUACAACAUUAAAAGAAGGGUGAAGUGCCGAUUUAGUCCAUAAACUAUCAUCUUAGUGAAAAUUAGGUCCCUAAAUUAUUUUUUCGGUAAAAUAAGUCUCAAAAUUCAUUAAAAUUUGAUAAUGUCAUCCCUACUAUUACAUUUAAAGUUGUUUAUCCAUUUUUUGUCAACUUAAGUCACUUGACACAAUUUAGAGUGUAAUACUGUCAUUUUCUCGUCUAUAAGCCCUUAACAUUUCAUAUAGGUUGCGAAUCUAACGUCUAAUUUACCCUCCAAAGUUAAUUCCAUACACUAUUUAUUUAUGAAAAAUUACCAAUCUAUCCUCCAAUGUGUAUCAUAUGCAAGUAAUGUGACUUAAAUUAAUGGAAGAUUGAAUAUAGUAGCUUCGAAUCUAAUAUUAGGGAUGUAAUUGGCAUAUUUUUAUAAUUCAAAGAAUGAUUUUUUUUUAAGAAAAAAAAUAGUCUAAGGACUUAAUUUUCACUUAAUUGAUAAUUCAAAAACUAAAUUGAUUAUUCACUCUUAGAAGAAUGAAGGGCCUCCAUCUAAGUUUUGAACAGAGCCCCUAAAUACUCAAAGUGGGCCCUAAUAAAGGAGUUCAAAUUUUGUUUAUAGGACAACAUUCUAAGGUGCUCCAGUUCACGGAUACUGGAAUUCACACUUGUUUGGAAUAACGCAGACACUCAUCUCUGAUCAGCUAUAGCCUAUAUAUAACACAAACAUGCAAGAAUUCGUAGUUUUAAGGUUCUUUUUGUCAAUUUCCAACACCACCAUCUAAUCCGCUCAAGUUACACUCUUAUGGCACGUUUACGUACCCGUAAUCGGAAUCAAUUUAUGGAAUUGGAUUCCGAUUACGGGAUACACCUUUGUUUACGUAAUCUUGAGGAAUCAAAAUACAUGUGGGGUCCACACGCAUUAAAGAAUCCAACUCCUAAUUUUGGAGGAAUUGGACUCCUUACAUAAGGGAGGUAUUUCAAUUCCUUGUGACUUGAGGAAUUCGGAAUGGAGUUUAUUUACCAAUUAUGCCCUCACUUGUUUCUUAUUAUCCCAACAUUGCCCUUCAUUUGACACUCAUUAUGCCAUCUUUUAAUAAAUAAAUAAAACCUUUUAUAUAUUUUUAUAUAGAUGAAUUUUAUUAUAUAAAUUUAAUUCAAUUAAUUAGUAUGAAAAUAAUUUAUUUAUGUAAGGGCAAUUUAGUAAUCAACCUAGUUUUCAUUCCGAUUGAAGUGAAUUAGUAAACAACUUAUAUAGAUUCAACAUCAUUCAUGCCAUCUUUUAAUAAAUAAAUAAAACUUAUUCAUAUAUUUUUAUAUAGAUGAAUUUUAUUAUAUAAAUUUAAUUAAUUAGUAAGGAAAUAAUUUAUUUAUGCAAGGGCAAUAUAGUAAUCAACUGAGUUUUCAUUCCGAUUGAAGUGAAUUAGUAAACAACUUAUAUAGACUCAACAUCAUUUCUACUCCAAUUUCAGACAGUUUUAGUAAACAACUUAUAUAGACUCAACAUCAUUUCUACUUCGAUUCCAGACAGUUUUAGUAAACAACUUCAACAUGAAUCUAAUUCUGAUUUCACCUCAUUUCAAUUCCUCCUCAAUCCAAUUCCUCAUCAAUUCAAUUCCUCUCAAUUUGAUUACGAAUUAGUAAACGCACCCUUACUUAUUACUAGUGAUUAAUAAUAGGGUAAAUUACACUUUACUCUUUCAAGUUUCAGUGUAAUUGCAACUUCAUACAAUAUCUUUAAAACAUUUCAAUUUCAUACACAAACUUGUAUUUUGUUGCAAUUUCAUACAUUUAUUAGUCAAAUCAUUAAUUUGAUCACUAAAUGAUGAUGUGGCAAAAGCAUGGCCCACAUAUUUUCAUAAUGUGGCAUAUAAAAAAUAAUUAAUUAUAAAAAAAAAAAACUUAAAUACAAAAUUAAAUUAAAACAAAAUAAAAGGGGCCCACCCCCUCUUCUCCCACACGGCCACAGAGCUUCCAUCUCCUCCAAUAUCCAUAACCACCAGUGCACCCACCCUCCCAAUCCCUAAACCCUCAUUAUCUAGUUCUCCCAAUUCUUCUGAUUCUUCUUCUUCCCCAAAUCUUCGUAAAAAAUCUCUCUAUUUUCGCUCUCAUUCCGAAAAAAACCCCCAGAAAUUUCAUGGAUUUCGAAAUUUUAUUUCCCAAAAUUCCAAACCAUCAUCUUCUCCACGUCAACCUACUUGCAAAUCUGAAAAAAAAACCCUCCCAAGUUUCCUCCUAUCUUGCGCCGCACUUACUUGAACCAGCACGAUACCCACGCCGAUCUGAAUGUCUGCACCGAACACAUAAUUAAGCACAGACUCCCGAUGGCCACAACUUCUUUUAGAUCCGAGCUUCCAAUGCCAUCUCUUCCUGAAUCGGGCAUCGCGGCGGGACAUCUAAUCCACACCCACCCCUUACACCUGAUGUAAACCUUCCCCUUCCCUCUGUUCCCUCUGAUCUCGACGAGCUCUGCUGUUAAAUGGUUAAGCAACUGAUUGCGCCAUAGUGACAUCGCCGGAGUCGACAGUGGCGAGGUUUCUGAGGACGAGGAGGGCAGCUUGCAAGGCUUUAAUCGGACCGCGGUGGUGCUAAGGGGGUUAGAAUGGAGGAGAAUGCGAAUUACUUGCCGUUGAAGAUUAAGGGUAACAAUGGUGUGACGUCGCCAAAGCUGGUGAGGGGGGCCGAAGACAUCUGUGGACACGAUCCACUCGCCGUUAGGUGAAAACCUGGUGACAAUGACGGGUUAGGCGUGCUCGGCGUAAACGACGACAGAUGAUAAAUUUAUAUUUGGGUGGGGUCUAAUUUAUAUUCGGCGUAAACGACGACGUCGAAGGCGUGCUCGGUGUUGGAAGAACGAUGACAGGACAACAGGAACAAAGAAGAACGAUGACAGGACAACAGGAACAAAUUUGUGUGGGGUCUAAUUUAAUUUAUAUUUGUCACGUCACUAUUUAACGGUAAAUUUAAUAGAGUAAAUAACAGUUGUAUGAAAUUGAAAUGAAAUAGUAAUAACUGUAUGAGAUUGAAAUGUUUUAAAGAUAUUGUAAGAAAUUGUAAUUGAUCUCAAAGCUAAGGGGGGUAAAAUAUAAUUUACCCUUAAUAAUAUUGUUAGGACAUUUUUUGUCCAUUGUUGGACUGUCGUAAAACAAGGCCUCUCACCUUUUUGAAAAAAUGACAUUAUUUAAGUUCAAAUUAAUUAGUUUAUAUAAUAUAUAAUAAAUUAUUUAAAUUUGCCUCGUCCGUCUAGGCUUGUAUAUGAACAUUACUAUCCCCUUCACUCUAGUAUUUUUUUUCUAGUUGUAAGAUGUUGUCUUUGUAAUCCAACAAUUCAUUCAUUUAUUGAAUGUAAUAAGUAACAUUUUAACAAUAGAAAAGUGAUUGGAAUUUGACGUACUGGGUAGGGACUUCUCUUUCGAAUUGAAUUGGUUGAAAAAUUAGAUUAUGUAAACUUAAUAAGUGCAUUUGCAUCUAAAAACGCGAGACGAGUAAUAUUUGAGUAAUGUUUGUACAUCUUUCUUCUUUUGAUAUUAAUGUUUAAUGAUAUUUGAUGUAGAAAUAGACAUUUCAUGUAUUUAGUGAAUUUUUUUUAUACAUGUUAAUGUACGAAGGGUCAGGAGUCAGAGAACUCUAGGGUCUCAUUUUGAAGGCUCGCAUAGGGCCCCAAAUUCUCAGGGCCGGCCUUGAUUAGAGUGUUAGUCUCUUAACUAAAAAUUCGUGAAUAUUGAUAUAUGAAUUUGAUGAUGUGAAGUAAUGGUCCUUUCAAUUAAUUCUGUUAUAACUUUUAUAAAAAAAGAUUUAAGGGUGCAAAAACUGGAUAAAAAUUCUAAUGAAGUUAACAAAAAGACCAUUAUUAUAUAUUAUAAAAGGUUCAGAACCAAUACUUACAAAUAUUUAAUUCAAGCAAUAAAACUCCAAUUGAGCUAACGCACAAGGGCUAUUGCUUCAAUUUUUUUGGAAAAGAAAAUGCAAGGGCGCGCGCAAUGCAAGGGACAAGAAAGAAGGGCGAGCAGAGAGACGAUUCCGGAAAGUUUAAUUUUAGCGGUGGAAAAACUGUGAAACAAGUGUAUAAAAAGGGCAAGGAUUGGGAACAAGGAAGAUCGUAGAAGAAGAAGCAACGGUCUUCUUCGAAUAAAACCAUAGAUCGAUAGGAAUUUAAUUAAAUAUUGCGUGAGGAAAGGGUUGAAAUUAAUAGAUCGAUAGGAAUAAGAAAGCUAUAGAUGGCUUCCGUGAUGUAUGCGCUGUUGCUGUGCCUCUCAGCCGGAGCACUUUCGAUGGUCCAGGGUGAAGACCCUUACCUGUUCUUCACAUGGAAUGUCACCUACGGAACCAUCUCUCCCCUCGGAGUCCCCCAGCAAGCAAUUCUCAUCAAUGGCCAGUUCCCAGGACCCAACAUCAACUCCACCAGCAACAACAACAUCGUCCUCAACGUCUUCAACAACCUCGAUGAGCCAUUCCUUGUGACAUGGAACGGCGUCCAGCAGAGGAAGAAUUCGUGGCAAGAUGGAACCCUCGGAACCAUGUGCCCCAUCGCCCCUGGUACCAACUUCACCUACCGCUUCCAAGUCAAGGAUCAGAUAGGGAGCUACAUGUACUAUCCAGUCACUGCCAUGCACAGGGCAGCAGGUGGCUUCGGUGGACUCCGCAUCAACAGUCGUCUGCUCAUUCCCGUCCCAUAUGCUGAUCCCGAGGAUGAAUACACCGUCAUGAUCGGCGACUGGUACACCAAAAGCCACACCGCUCUCAAGAAAAUCUUGGACAGCGGCCGCACCAUGGGAAGACCCACCGGCGUCCUAAUCAACGGCAAGAACGCCAAGGGAGACGGCAAAGACGAGCCCCUCUUCACCAUGAAGCCAGGGAAAACCUACAAGUACAGGGUCUGCAACGUGGGGCUCAAGAACUCCCUCAACUUCCGGAUCCAAGGCCAUCCCUUGAAGCUUGUCGAGAUGGAGGGCUCCCACACUGUCCAGAACACCUACGAAUCCCUUGACGUGCACGUGGGGCAAUGUUUCUCGUUGCUCGUCACUGCAGACAAAGAGCCCAAGGACUACUACAUGGUGGCCUCCACCCGAUUCACCAAGACCGUGCUCACCGGCAAAGGCAUUAUCCGCUACGAAAAUGGUAACGGCCCUGCAUCCCCCGAGCUCCCCGAGGCUCCCGUAGGAUGGGCCUGGUCUCUUAACCAGUUCCGUUCCUUCCGCUGGAACCUCACUGCCAGCGCUGCCAGGCCUAACCCUCAGGGCUCGUACCACUACGGAAAGAUCAACAUCACCCGCACCAUCAAGAUCGUCAACUCCGCCUCCAAGGUGGAUGGCAAGCUCCGGUAUGCCGUCAACGGAGUCUCCCACGUGGAAUCCGAAACCCCACUCAAGCUGGCUGAGUACUUCGGUGUGGCCGACAAGGUUUUCAAGUACGACACAAUCGAGGAUGAACCCCCAGCCACCGUGGAGGACAAGAUCACCUUGGCACCCAACGUUGUCAACCAGACCUUCCGUGACUUUGUAGAGAUCAUCUUUGAGAACCACGAGAAGAGCAUUCAGUCAUGGCAUUUGGAUGGAUACUCCUUCUUUGCCGUCGCGUAAGUCCUUAGCUAGUGUCUCUCUUCUACGUAAUAUGUAUAUAUGCAUUUUUAUACCUAGCUAAUAGUACUUACUUACAUAUUCAUAUAUUCAAUCAAUCCUACUCUUAUUAUGUGCAGCAUUGAACCCGGGAGGUGGACCCCAGAAAAGAGAAAGAACUACAACCUUCUUGACGGAGUGAGCAGGCACACCAUCCAAGUGUUCCCCAAAUCCUGGGCUGCCAUCAUGUUGACCUUCGACAAUGCCGGAAUGUGGAACGUGAGGUCUGAACAACCGGAGAGGUGCUAC
Molecule: long non-coding RNA, 11026 nt
Filed under: Malus domestica (apple)
Lineage: Eukaryota; Viridiplantae; Streptophyta; Magnoliopsida; Rosales; Rosaceae
Description: long non-coding RNA (MDOM_LNC009794)
Source: RNAcentral